UUGCCAUGGAGAGAAGAGGCGAGAGACUGUUAGUUACUGCUCUUGAGCCAGCAGUGCCCUUAGCAAACUCAGAAAAGAGAAGGCAGAAGGCACAGGGCUGGGAAUUUCAGGUAUUCUGUCACAAGCAACACAAAAUGGACUAAGAAACAUCCAGUUAUCUCCUUCUCGAAGCUGUCUCCAGUAUUUAAGAGGAAACGUUAAAGACACAGCCCCGUCACAUCCCUCCAUCAAAUGGACUAAGACACAUCCAGUUAUCUCCUCCUCGAAGCUGUCUCCAGUAUUUAAGAGGAAACGUUAAAGAUGCAGCCCCUGUCACAUCCCUCCAUCAAAAAACAUAGGCUGCCUCGUGGAAUCAGAGUCCUUCCCAGCCUCCAGAAUCCCCCAAAAUCUUGGCUCACUGCAACCUCUGCCUCCUGGGCUCAAGUGAUUCUCAUGCCUCAGCCUCCCGAGUAGCUGGGACUACAGGCACCCACCACCAUGCUGAGCUAAUUUUUAGUAGAGAUGGGGUUUCACCAUGUUGGCCAGGCUGGUCUUGAACUCCUGAUCUCAGAUGAUCCACUCGC
Long non-coding RNA from Gorilla gorilla gorilla (western lowland gorilla), 563 nucleotides. RefSeq lists it as uncharacterized. The record is from RefSeq and is a predicted model, not a curated record. NCBI's taxonomy places the organism in Eukaryota, Metazoa, Chordata, Mammalia, Primates, Hominidae. The transcript is spliced from 3 exons.